Molecule: ribosomal RNA, 494 nt
Filed under: uncultured bacterium
Lineage: Bacteria
Description: partial 16S ribosomal RNA
Rfam family: Bacterial small subunit ribosomal RNA
Source: RNAcentral
GACGAACGCUGGCGGCGUGCUUAACACAUGCAAGUCGAACGGUGAAGCGCCUUCCUUUUUGGUGGGUGUGGAUGAGUGGCGAACGGGUGAGUAACACGUGAGUAACCUGCCCCCUUCUUCUGGAUAACCGCAUGAAAGUGUGGCUAAUACGGGAUAUUCUGGGUCUGUCGCAUGAUGGGUCUGGGAAAGAUAUUGUUUCGGUGGGGGAUGGGCUCGCGGCCUAUCAGCUUGUUGGUGGGGUGAUGGCCUACCAAGGCGGUGACGGGUAGCCGGCCUGAGAGGGUGGACGGUCACACUGGGAGUGAGGCACGGCCCAGACUCAUACGGGAGGCAGCAGUGGGGAAUAUUGCACAAUGGGCGCAAGCCUGAUGCAGCGACGCCGCGUGAGGGAUGGAGGCCUUCGGGUUGUGAACCUCUUUCGCCAGUGAAGCAGGCCUGCCUCGUUUGUGGGUGGGUUGACGGUAGCUGGAAAAGAAGCGCCGGCUAACUACGUG